This 292-nucleotide ribosomal RNA is filed under the name uncultured bacterium. RNAcentral describes it as "partial 16S ribosomal RNA". It matches the Rfam family "Bacterial small subunit ribosomal RNA", at positions 505 to 796 of the family's 1533-position model. The record is from RNAcentral.
GUGCCAGCAGCCGCGGUAAUACGUAGGGUGCAAGCGUUGUCCGGAAUUAUUGGGCGUAAAGAGCUCGUAGGCGGUUUGUCGCGUCUGCUGUGAAAUCUGGGGGCUCAACCCCCAGCCUGCAGUGGGUACGGGCAGACUAGAGUGCGGUAGGGGAGAUUGGAAUUCCUGGUGUAGCGGUGGAAUGCGCAGAUAUCAGGAGGAACACCGAUGGCGAAGGCAGAUCUCUGGGCCGUAACUGACGCUGAGGAGCGAAAGCAUGGGGAGCGAACAGGAUUAGAUACCCUGGUAGUCC